UACGUAGGGUGCAAGCGUUAAUCGGAAUUACUGGGCGUAAAGCGUGCGCAGGCGGUGAUGUAAGACAGAUGUGAAAUCCCCGGGCUCAACCUGGGAACUGCAUUUGUGACUGCAUCGCUGGAGUGCGGCAGAGGGGGAUGGAACUCCGCGUGUAGCAGUGAAAUGCGUAGAUAUGCGGAGGAACACCGAUGGCGAAGGCAAUCCCCUGGGCCUGCACUGACGCUCAUGCACGAAAGCGUGGUGAGCAAACAGG
Molecule: ribosomal RNA, 253 nt
Filed under: uncultured bacterium
Lineage: Bacteria
Description: partial 16S ribosomal RNA
Rfam family: Bacterial small subunit ribosomal RNA
Source: RNAcentral